ACCAUUUCUUCUUGAAAUUUCGGUGGGAGACAGCCAUGGAAGAGGGUUUGGAGCUGGUAUUCCAUAUUUUGGCUUCAAGUAAGUUUAAUUCUUGCUUUGUCCUUGAAAUUUUUAUAUUUUUAGACUUUUACAAUUAGGUCCAACUCAGUAUUCUACUAGUUUCUCAUUUUGUUGAAAGUUUUGGAAGAUACUAAUGAUAAUUUCAUAUGAUUGUUGUUAUUUUGUGAUGAAAUUGAGAUGUUAAUGGAUGUUUAAAGGUGUUUUAUUAAAGAAUUUUAGAUGAAAACAUGUUUUGGGGAUUAAAUUGAAAAGUAUUGAAAUCAUGGAGAAAUUCUAAAAAUUCAUGGAAUCUAUGGGCUGUUAUUGAUAUGUAUGAGAAAUACUAGGCUUGAAUCAAGGAUUAUAUUGCAAGAAUUUCAUUUUCCAAGCCUAGGGACGAAAUUAUCAUGUAUUAAAAGUUUAGAGUCAAAUUGGUAAUCAAUAUAUUACACUAAACAGUUUUGGGCAGCAGCAGUGGUCUAACUUUGAAAAAUCACCAAAAAUUGUGGAAAUUUAAUUAAAGGGUGAAUAAAAUAUGAAAUUAAAUCUUAUUGAGUCUAGUUUCUCAUAGAAGAAACGGUGUAAGCAAUGAAAUUGUAAAUCAUGAGAUAUAAUAGAUUUUGUGAGACAAGGUCAGAAUGAAUUCGGGUUCCCCUAUUCUGAAUUUGGAAAAUCAUUAAAAAUUGUACAAAAACGAUUAUGAGUUAUAAUUUAUAUGGUUAGAAUCCUUAAUGAGUCUAUUUUUAUAAGAAACAAAUAGAAAUAUCAUCCAAAUUCUGUACAAUGAGAUAAUUAAUUUUUAGUGAAGAGUGGUCGGAACUGUCAGACAGCGAAACAGGGGAACUUUAAAGAAUAAACUGUACUAUUUGGCUCAACCAAAAAUUCUGAAAAUUUUAUGGUAAGAAGGUAUAUGAGUCUAGUUUCAGGAAAAAUUAACGGAUCUUAAUUUGGAGCUUUGUAUCUCCGGAUAAAAAUAAUUCAGUGACUCUGACUCGGAUAAACAGCUUUGAAUAUACAUGUGAGUGAAUAGUGAAAUUAUAGCUAAUGUUGUUUAAGUGUGUUAUACACAUUAAGGAUGUGGAAUGGAGAGGAGGAGGAGGAAAAUUGGGAAGUAUACAAAUGAUUUGUGUAUAAUUGGUCAUAUGCUUGAUUAUAAUUGAUAAACGAUGAAAUAGAAAUAAUGCUUAUAUUUGUGCAUUAUUGGUUAUGGUUUAAGCUCAUGUGUGAAAAUAAAGUUUCAUAGUAUGUGUGUGUGGUAUAUUCGGUAUAUGAUUCGGCAUGAAAUAAUUUCAUGAAUGGUUUAUCAUGUGGUUAGUUCCAAAAAAAGUUAUGUUUAAAUAUACUAGCUUGUGACUAUGGUUGAAUGAUAUGUGUUAGGAUCGUCCCGAAUAAGCAACGAACAAGUAAAAAUAGUAGAAGAAAUUGAGAAGAUGAACACACAAAUUUAACGUGGAAAAACCCCUCAAAAGAGGAUAAAAAACCACGGGCAAAGAUAAUUUUACUAUAAUGGCAAAAGAAUGAAGAGUACAAAAGAUGGAGAUAAAAACUAAACCCCGAAAACCCGAAAAACAAAGAACCCUCAAACGUAAACACAAAAUUCUCUGAAUGUGUUAUGAGUUCUAAUCUAAUGGGUGUCUCUUUAAUUCUAAGAUUGUAAAGGAGCCUAUUUAUAGGCUAAAUUAGUAAGUCAAAUAAACUAUACUAAUAAAUGCUAAAUAUAUUAUACUAAUAAAUACUAAAUCUUCUAGAAAGAAAAUAUAUUUUUGUUUAACUUGACUUGCAAGCAAUCUCUUAGAAUUUGGGUCACACAAUUCUAACAAUCUCCACAUUGACACGAAUUCUUUCAAUGCCAUCUUUGCCAAAACCCGCCACGGGCCUAUCUUGAACUAUGCAGGGAAUUAACUGAGUCGAAUCUAUGCUUAGAAGCUGGAAGACUUCUAGCCUUCGACUUGUGCACUGCCAAAUCAAAACUAACCCGGGUCUGAUUUUCACGAAUACAGUAACCUAACUUUUCAAAACCUGCAUCCAAAAGAGAACCUCUCUUCAACGAAACGGUCAUACCUUUUUCCCUCCUAUGACCAAGUUGCCUCCGCUUCAAAUGAGUUGACUUUGACUCCGUAACGGACGAGGGACGUCCGAUUUCACCGGUCACUGUAGAACCUUCUAGAAUAUAAAGACUGCCGGUUCUUUUACCUUUUAACAAAACGAGAGCUCCACGAGAUACUUUAAUGUCGCUCGACUCGAUGUUGAUUCUGCAUCUUUUCAAGUCUAAAAUACUCAAGGAGAUGAGAUUCUUUCGUAAAUCAGGUACAUACCUGACAUCUGAGAGUGUCCUAAUCGUCCCAUCGUGUAUCCUAAUAUUAACAGUACCAAUACCGAUUAUUUUACUAGAUGAAUCGUUUCCCAUGUGCACAACUCCACCUUCAACUGAACUGUAUGUGGAGAACCAUUCUCUAUUGGGACACAUGUGGAAAGAACAUUCUGAAUCUAGGAUCCACUCAGACGUAAGCUUGAAGUUAUCUCUCGUUGACACUAACAAGAAAUCAUCACCGCCUUCAUCGACCAAAUUAGCACCAGCUACAUCUUCCUCGUUACUCUCAGCAACUCUUUUAUUUCGCAGUUUAUAACAAUCUGCUUUGACGUGACCUAACUUUUUGCAAUAGCGACACCUUUUGUCUCGUUUCUUUGAUGCUACCAAAACGGAAGCUUGUCUAUCUACUUUGCUAUUCAAAUCAAACUCAUUUUCGAGUUUGUCUCUACUCAACAAAUGACCCUUCACAUCUUCGAACGAGAGUUUAUCUCUGCCAUAAAUCAGGGUCUCCCUGAAAGACUUGUAUGAAGAGGGUAAAGAGCACAAUAAUAGCAUAGCUUGAUCUUCAUCGUCAAUAUGAACCUCAACGUUCUUUAAAUCAUUUAAAAGAGUAAUGAAUUGACUGAUGUGAUCUUUAAGAAGCUCACCUUCGUUCAUGCGAAACGUAAAUAGACGUUGUUUCAACACUAAACGGUUAGCCAGAGACUUAAUCGCAUAAAGAGUUUCUAACCUUUUCCACAAGGCGAAUGAGGUCUUCUCCAUCAAUACCUCCAGCAAUACUGUAUUCGCGAGGCACAACUGGAUUGCAGACAAGGCCUUUUCAUCAAGCUCUUCCCAUUCUGUUUGAUUUAGAUUCUCAGGCUUUUUCCCUGUAACAACCUUUUUCAAGCCAUUUUGAACUAGAAUUGCCAUCAUCCGAACUUGCCACAGAUUGAAAUUUGUCUCACCAUCGAACUUCUCAAUUUCAAACUUGUUGCUGCCAUCUCUGACCGGGCUGAUCUAUGAAAGUUAAACUAGCUCUGAUACCACUUGUUAGGAUCGUCCCGAAUAAGCAACGAACAAGUAAAAAUAGUAGAAGAAAUUGAGAAGAUGAACAAACAAAUUUAACGUGGAAAAACCCCUCAAAAGAGGAUAAAAAACCACGGGCAAAGAUAAUUUUACUAUAAUGGCAAAAGAAUGAAGAGUACAAAAGAUGGAGAUAAAAACUAAACCCCGAAAAUCCGAAAAACAAAGAACCCUCAAACGUAAACACAAAAUUCUCUGAAUGUGUUAUGAGUUCUAAUCUAAUGGGUGUCUCUUUAAUUCUAAGAUUGUAAAGGAGCCUAUUUAUAGGCUAAAUUAGUAAGUCAAAUAAACUAUACUAAUAAAUGCUAAAUAUAUUAUACUAAUAAAUACUAAAUCUUCUAGAAAGAAAAUAUAUUUUUGUUUAACUUGACUUGCAAGCAAUCUCUUAGAAUUUGGGUCACACAAUUCUAACAAUAUGUUUAUAUCUUGUGUGAUGUGCAUAGGAAACAAGUGUGGUAAGAUAAUGAAAUAGUAAGUUCAUAUGGCUGAAAUUUAAUGAUUAAAUGUUAAUUUCAUGAAUUAUAUAAAUGUAUGAUGAAAUAUAUUUAUUGUUGAAAUGAGAAUAAAAUACGAAUGCGAAAACCGAAUAAAUGAUCAAAUUGAGCGGAACGCCGGAUUUGAGUACUUCUGAUCAAGAGAUAAAGUGAUAAGUGGUAGCUUUAGCUACACUUAUCUGAUCAAGUGAAAAAGUGAUAAGUGCUACACUUAUCUGAUCAAGUGACAAAGUGAUAAGUGAUAGUUUCGGCUACACUUAUCUGAUCAAGUGACAAGUGAAAAGUGAUAAGUGAUAGCUUUAGCUACACUUAUCUGAUCAAGAGACAAAGUGAUAAGUGGCUACACUUAUCUGAUCAAGAGACAAAGUGAUAAGUGGCUACACUUAUCUGAUCAAGAAAUAAAGUGAUAAGUGGCUACACUUAUCUGAUCAGGGACAAGUGAUAAGUGAUCAUACGUAAGACCAUAGUUAUACUAUGGCAAAGUGAAAGUGAAGUACUCAAUUUUCCGUAACCGUUCCCUAAUUUGAUUAAGGAUGGUAAGUGACAAAUGGGCCCAAAUGAAUUAAAGAAAAUGGAUAAGUGGUAGUGUAUUUAUACCAGGAUGAUGUGGUUAUUUAAUCUAAAGUGAUAUUUUCAUUGCAAAAUUGAGAAUUUCAUAAAUGUGUUAUUGAAUGAUAUAAUCGAUAAACAUUGAGUUAAAUGGUAAAUACGUAUUAGUGUUAAACUUAGUGACAUUGAAUUGUACGUGAAUUAAAUGGAAAUUGCUAGUGAUAUGAUCUAAAUUAUGAGCAUGAGAAAUUGUGAAUUAAAUGAAAUGGAAAUGAAGCAUUGAAUUGUAUGAGUAUGUACCGGGUCUCGUAGGCCCUAAUUAUUAUGAUUAUAAUAUUUUGAGGAUAUAUUGUGAAAAGAUAUAGAAGCAUGUUAAUUAUUUUGAAAGUUUUUAUUUAGUUGAAAUUUUAUAACUCGGUUAAAUACGUUUACAAGUGUAUGUGUUUUGGUAAUGCCUCGUACCCUAUUCCGGUGUUGGAUACAGGUAAGGGGUGUUACAAGUCGGUUACGCACGAUGAAAGAUUAGCACCCUCGAUACGCCCAAAAUUGAUACCUAGUUGAUUACUUAAUGUCUUAAUGUCGAAAAUUGAAAACUUUGAAGAAUUUUAAAAAUACGAUCCUUGUACUAAAAUGUUGAAAAUUUUGGGAAAAUGGGGCACGUUCCACGUUAAUCGAGAAAGAAAGCAUCAUAUCCAGUAAGUUAGGACACAAUGUCUCGAAUUCUCGAUACGCGAAUGAAUGUCAAAAAUUACUUAUUUAAAAGAUGCUUAACUAUCUCGAAUUUAAAAAAGGGGAUCAAGUCCAGUAAGUUAGGACUCGAUCUUUUCUUAAUUUCCGAGAUCAUUUAAAACUUUGGUUAAAAAAAACUCGCGUAUUUAGAUUUAUUGUGAAAAUCGAAACCCAGUAAGUUAGGGUACGACCUUCUCGAGUCUAAACAUGAAAUUUUGUUUAUUCAAAUGUCAUAAUUUAUACAUUGAAUGAAAAAUAAUUUAACGCGUAAUAGUAGAAAUAAAACACGAUGUUAAUGUUCGUAACAAAAAAAUAAUGAAUUCGAUAAUGUAAGUAUGAAUAAUACGAGUAACAACAAAUAAAAGAUAAAUAAAUAAAAAACGAAUUAAACAUGCAAAAGAAUAAGCAAAUAAACUAUUCGAAUGAAAGUGGGCAUAAAUAAAUAAAAGAAAGUAAACACCACGCGAAAUAACGAAACCACAAAAGAAAUAAAAAUAUAUAAAUACAUGUAUAUAUAUUUUAGAAUUAUGAAAAUAUAGAAAAUAUUUAAAAAUAUGUAUACGUAUAUCUAUGUGUAAUAAAAUACGUAGAAAUAGAUAUAGGUAUGUGUAAGUAUGAAAAAUGAAAUAUAAAAAUAUAUUUAUAAUAACUUUAAAAUGUAUGUGUAUAUGUAUUAGGAAAAUGUAUAUAUUCACACACAAAAAUAAAAUAAAAUAUGUACACAUAUAUAUUAUAAAAAGUAUGCGUUUGUAUAUGUAAAUAUAUAACAAGAAUUUUAAAAUUAAAAGAGUAUAAUAAUAAUAAUAAUAAUAAUAAUAAUAAUUUGAAAACAUGAAAAGCUAGAAGUAAAUAAUAAAUAAUAAAAGAUACGGUAAGAUAAAAUAUAUAUAUAAAAACUAAAAAACUAAAAUAUAUAUAUAAUAUAAUAUAUAAAAAGGUAAUGCAAAACUAAUUUAUAUAAUAACGAUGAAUAAAUAAAUAAAUAUAACGGAAAAUAAAAACUAAUAAUAAAUAACAAUAAUAAUAAUAACAUCACAUUUAUUGAUUUAAUAAUAAAACAAACAAAAUAACAAAAAAGGGCUAAAUUAGAUAUUAAAACAAAAUUUGGGGCCAAAUCUAUAAAUAAAUAAAAGAGGAAGGACAAAGUUGAACGCGCGAACAACAAGAAGGGAUCAAGAGAGCAAUUUUUCCUUCUUUCCCAAAACGCACAGCAUCAUAGGACCAAAUUGUAAAGAAAAAUAAACUAAUGUGCGAAUUUAAAAAAACAAAAGGGUCUUGAUUGUAAAAUUAUUUAAAAGUGGAAGGGCUAAAGUGGCAAAUAUACCAUUGAACGAAAACACGCGGAUCCCCCUGGAGCGGGUCGGGUCGCGCGCGGGUCUAAGGCAAAACGGCGCCGUUUUGGUGCCUGAGAAGGCUGCCGAAAACGACGUUGUUUUGGAAGCUUAUUUAAGCUAAAUUUUUUUCAAACUUUUCAUUCUUCCCUUCUUUUCUCCAAAAAAUUUCCGAAAAUGCUCUCAAUUCCCCUCCCCCAUUCCGGGCACUGCCCAGAAUCUGGUGAACAGCGCCGCCGCGCCGCUGCCGCGCCGGCCACCGUACACAAUGGCCGGAAAAUUCAAAAGGUAUGUUUUUUUGCUUUUUUUAUAUGUUAUAAAUAUAUAGUUUUAAAAAAUAAAAGAAACAAAAUAGAAUACAAAUAGUUUCGAAAAGAGAAAAAAAAUAAAGAAAGAAAAAUAGAAAAAGAAAAUAGAUAUACCGAAAAAGGGUUUUUGAAUCUGCUUUUUUUUUUAUUUCUUCCAAUCGUGAAAGAGGGGCCGAACCCCUCACAUUCCUUUGGUUUCGACUUUUAUAGCCGAUUUUAACAUUUUUUAUCUAUGUCUACUGUUUGUUGUUGCGUGUUGGUUUCUCUUCUUGCAGGUGCAAGUGGCCGACGUGACAGUGGCGGGUGGAACAGGUGGCGCUGGUCAGAGGCGUCUGAAGGCUUGCUUGGGGCAGCGGCAGUACUAGGGUUUCAGAAAAGCUGAAACCCUAGUUUGACAAAUUGGUUUUGGGCCUGUGCAUUUUGGGCUUCGGGUUUUGGGCUGUAUUUGGGUUAGUUUUAGGUGGGUUUGGGUUUAAUUUGUUUAAGGUCUGUUGUUUAUGUUUUGGGUAUUGGGUUUUGUAAUUG
This 7351-nucleotide long non-coding RNA is filed under the name Gossypium barbadense (sea-island cotton). RNAcentral's name for it is "long non-coding RNA (GBAR_LNC017731)". The record is from RNAcentral. Lineage: Eukaryota; Viridiplantae; Streptophyta; Magnoliopsida; Malvales; Malvaceae.